This 402-nucleotide ribosomal RNA is filed under the name uncultured bacterium. Its description in RNAcentral is "bacterial SSU rRNA". It matches the Rfam family "Bacterial small subunit ribosomal RNA", at positions 355 to 774 of the family's 1533-position model. The record is from RNAcentral.
UGGGGAAUAUUGCACAAUGGGCGAAAGCCUGAUGCAGCAACGCCGCGUGAGUGAUGAAGGCCUUCGGGUUGUAAAGCUCUGUCUUCUGGGACGAUAAUGACGGUACCAGAGGAGGAAGCCACGGCUAACUACGUGCCAGCAGCCGCGGUAAUACGUAGGUGGCAAGCGUUGUCCGGAUUUACUGGGCGUAAAGGAUGCGUAGGCGGAUAUUUAAGUGAGAUGUGAAAUUCCCGGGCUUAACUUGGGAGCUGCAUUUCAAACUGGGUAUCUAGAGUGUGGGAGAGGAAAGUGGAAUUCCUAGUGUAGCGGUGAAAUGCGUAGAGAUUAGAAAGAACCCCAGUGGCGAAGGCGACUUUCUGGACCAUAACUGACGCUGAGGCAUGAAAGCGUGGGGAGCAAACA